This 30-nucleotide non-coding RNA is filed under the name Mus musculus (house mouse). Lineage: Eukaryota; Metazoa; Chordata; Mammalia; Rodentia; Muridae. The record is from RNAcentral.
UGCGGAGAAUGUCAUCAGGGUAACAUGGUC